UGAUACAAGGUUUCCAAAGUCAAAACAGUUCGUGCUUGCACGAAACUGUUUUUGACCUUGGAAACCGUACAAGAAUGAGAAUGCAGCGAUUUCCGAAGGAAAUCAGCGAAUUCGAAUGCUUGUAGACUUGCGAGAACUGCAAAGCAGUGGAGCAAGUCGUAGGUAUCA
Molecule: small RNA, 168 nt
Organism: Clostridiales bacterium KLE1615
Lineage: Bacteria; Bacillati; Bacillota; Clostridia; Eubacteriales
Rfam family: Clostridiales-1 RNA
Source: Rfam